UCGUUGGCGAGAAUGUUUCGACAACAAAGUGUGAAAUUUGAGGUAAAAUACAACAGAGGAUUUCUGAAAGGUGACAAGACGCUGGGUCAAGCUUCUCUUAAGUUAUCACCGUUUGAUAAUAGAUGUGAAAUUCACGAAUGUCUAAAUAAACGAUUGCUGUCGUAAGUGGACUUAAUUACAAUUGCAGCUUAUGGAUCCCGAGAAAGGUCGCAAGGUGAUUGGUGGAAAG
Long non-coding RNA from Xenia sp. Carnegie-2017, 229 nucleotides. RefSeq lists it as uncharacterized. The transcript has 3 exons. NCBI's taxonomy places the organism in Eukaryota, Metazoa, Cnidaria, Anthozoa, Malacalcyonacea, Xeniidae. The record is from RefSeq and is a predicted model, not a curated record.